CCUACGGGGGGCAGCAGUGAGGAAUAUUGGUCAAUGGGCGAGAGCCUGAACCAGCCAAGUCGCGUGAGGGAGGACGGCCCUACGGGUUGUAAACCUCUUUUGCCGGGGGACAAACGGCGGCACGCGUGCCGUCCUGAGGGUACCCGGAGAAAAAGCAUCGGCUAACUCCGUGCCAGCAGCCGCGGUAAUACGGAGGAUGCGAGCGUUAUCCGGAUUUAUUGGGUUUAAAGGGUGCGUAGACGGCCAUGCAAGCCAGGGGUGAAAGCCCGGGGCCCAACCCCGGGACUGCCCUUGGAACUGCAUGGCUGGAGUGCGGGAGGGGCAGGCGGAAGUCCUGGUGUAGCGGUGAAAUGCGUAGAUAUCAGGAGGAACACCGGCGGCGAAGGCGGCCUGCUGGACCGCGACUGACGUUGAGGCUCGAAAGCGUGGGGAGCGAACAGGAUUAGAUACCCUAGUAGUC
Molecule: ribosomal RNA, 460 nt
Filed under: uncultured bacterium
Lineage: Bacteria
Description: partial 16S ribosomal RNA
Rfam family: Bacterial small subunit ribosomal RNA
Source: RNAcentral